RNAcentral lists this ribosomal RNA (442 nucleotides) under uncultured bacterium. RNAcentral describes it as "partial 16S ribosomal RNA". It matches the Rfam family "Bacterial small subunit ribosomal RNA", at positions 338 to 795 of the family's 1533-position model. The record is from RNAcentral.
CCUACGGGAGGCUGCAGUGGGGAAUAUUGGACAAUGGGGGGAACCCUGAUCCAGUGACGCCGCGUGAGUGAAGAUGUAUUUCGGUAUGUAAAGCUCUAUCAGCAGGGAAGAAAGAAAUGACGGUACCUGACUAAGAAGCCCCGGCUAACUACGUGCCAGCAGCCGCGGUAAUACGUAGGGGGCAAGCGUUAUCCGGAUUUACUGGGUGUAAAGGGUGCGUAGGCGGAAUGCCAAGUCAGCGGUAAAAUCGCGGGGCUCAACCUCGCUCCGCCGUUGACACUGGUGUUCUUGAGUGGGCGAGAAGUAUGCGGAAUGCGUGGUGUAGCGGUGAAAUGCAUAGAUAUCACGCAGAACUCCGAUUGCGAAGGCAGCAUACCGGCGCCCAACUGACGCUGAAGCACGAAAGCGUGGGUAUCGAACAGGAUUAGAUACCCCAGUAGUC